GUAGGCAUAGCUCAGUUGGUUAGAGCACCAGAUUGUGGUUCUGGGGGUCGUGGGUUCGAGCCCCAUUGCUUACCCCA
This 77-nucleotide transfer RNA is filed under the name Mucilaginibacter sp. RNAcentral describes it as "tRNA-His". It matches the Rfam family "tRNA". Rfam says of the family: Transfer RNA (tRNA) molecules are approximately 80 nucleotides in length. Their secondary structure includes four short double-helical elements and three loops (D, anti-codon, and T loops). Lineage: Bacteria; Pseudomonadati; Bacteroidota; Sphingobacteriia; Sphingobacteriales; Sphingobacteriaceae. The record is from RNAcentral. RNAcentral also lists the same sequence under 1 other name.